RNAcentral lists this long non-coding RNA (247 nucleotides) under Lathyrus oleraceus (garden pea). RNAcentral's name for it is "Pisum sativum (pea) long non-coding RNA (PSAT_LNC013391)". Lineage: Eukaryota; Viridiplantae; Streptophyta; Magnoliopsida; Fabales; Fabaceae. The record is from RNAcentral.
UGAUACAGCUGAAUGAGCUUCUUUUGUGCUCAAGAAGGUGGGUAAUCUCGUCAGGAAUCCCCUUCAACAUCAUCUUCCUCUGCCUCAGAUACAAGGACUUCAAGAUUGGGAGAUGGCGUUGGAUCAUUAUGUUCAAUGGGUUUAGAAAUCCCUGCAUAAUGAUUCUGGAUAAUGAAAAGCUUUUGAAUUUUAAACAAGCAAAUCAUUUAUGCAGAUGAAAAAGCUGUUUUUGUUUUUCAGGGUUUUU